CGAAGAAAACCAGCAUCAAUUAUCGGAGACUCAUUUAAAGGAUGUAUAGAAAUGUUACGGAUACAGGCAACGGAAGCAAGUAUUAAAGGAAGGUAGGAAGAACGAAGCAAUCUUAAUAAAGAGGGUAGGGCAUUGCUUUGAACAAUUUCUAUUUGAUAACGCUCAUCAGAGGCAAGGUUUCUUAAUGCUAAAGCAGCUUGGCACUGGACUUUAGGACUUGAAGUAUCCAUUAAUUGAAUAAGAG
This is a non-coding RNA of Schizosaccharomyces pombe (fission yeast), 244 nucleotides long. Lineage: Eukaryota; Fungi; Ascomycota; Schizosaccharomycetes; Schizosaccharomycetales; Schizosaccharomycetaceae. The record is from the annotation of a GenBank genome assembly.